This 253-nucleotide ribosomal RNA is filed under the name uncultured bacterium. RNAcentral's name for it is "partial 16S ribosomal RNA". It matches the Rfam family "Bacterial small subunit ribosomal RNA", at positions 524 to 776 of the family's 1533-position model. The record is from RNAcentral.
UACAGAGGGGGCAAGCGUUGUUCGGAAUUACUGGGCGUAAAGGGCGCGUAGGUGGUCUUCUAAGUUGGACGUGAAAUCCCUGGGCUCAACCCCGGAACUGCGUCCGAGACUGGGAGGCUUGAAUCCGGGAGAGGGAUGCGGAAUUCCAGGUGUAGCGGUGAAAUGCGUAGAUAUCUGGAGGAACACCGGUGGCGAAGGCGGCAUCCUGGACCGGUAUUGACACUGAGGCGCGAAAGCCAGGGGAGCAAACGGG